RNAcentral lists this ribosomal RNA (274 nucleotides) under uncultured bacterium. RNAcentral's name for it is "partial 16S ribosomal RNA". It matches the Rfam family "Bacterial small subunit ribosomal RNA", at positions 523 to 796 of the family's 1533-position model. The record is from RNAcentral.
AUACGGAGGGUGCAAGCGUUGUCCGGAUUUAUUGGGUUUAAAGGGUGUGUAGGCGGUGUAUUAAGUCAGUGGUGAAAGCCUGCGGCUCAACCGUAGAACUGCCAUUGAUACUGACACACUUGAGUAUGGACGAGGUAGGCGGAAUUUAUGGUGUAGCGGUGAAAUGCAUAGAUACCAUAAAGAACACCGAUAGCGAAGGCAGCUUACUAGGCCAUAACUGACGCUGAGGCACGAAAGCGUGGGGAGCGAACGGGAUUAGAAACCCCGGUAGUCC